AUGCACCUGAGCAGAGAAGCUGCCGAUAUAGUCGGUUGGUUUACGAUUGGACUGUUUGUGGCCUUUGCUGCUCUGGGCCUCUACUGCAUUUUUCAGUCAAUCCAGUUCUGGUUUCGGAUUCGGAAAGGGACCUUGCUCUCACUCGGUUACUUUAAUGGUCCCUGGGUGACUCGCAUUGCUCUGAUUCUGAUCACUAUUUGGUGGGGAGUAGGGGAGAUUGUGAGAUUGAGCUUCUUGAAGGGAUGGCUGUUCUCCAGCUUAGUGUGGCAGAAGAUCGCAUGUGACGCCUACAUUCUCUCCAAUCUAGGGUUUGCUGAACCAAGCAUCUUCUUUGGCUUUGCUUUCCUCCUGCAUGGCUCAUUACAGAAGAGGGAGCUGGGCACUUUGACCCAGAGAUGGAACUUGAAGACCAUUGGCUACAUGUUGGUUUUCUGUGUUCCGGUGUUCUUCAUUCAGGCCCUUCUUGUGUUUGUUGGGCCUACAUUUGUUAAGGAUGAGAACAGUGCACAUGGAAGGAGAGUGUUUGCUAAAUACUUCAUUCAGACGUCCAUGCCAGUUGGGGACACCAAUGUUUGCACCUAUCCGUUGUUUGGCACCAUUUUUCUGGGACUUAUCGAUGCCGUCCUGAUGAGCUAUGUCUCCUAUGUUGGAUCUCGGGUGUUAUCCUUGGUCAUCAACAAGGCGCUGCGAAAGAGGGUUUCCUGGCUGAUAAUGUCGGUGCUUUUCUUCCUUCCUAUCAGGGUGCUUCUUCUAGGGUUCUCAGUGAUGCCCAGCCCAGGAGAUAAAGCAUUUGAGGUCAUCGUCUUCUUGUCAUUCGUGAUGAUGCUAUCCGGCACAACUGUUGGGAUACUCUUGCUGGUAUUCUGGCCUGUCCGUGAUUCAUUGGCACUCAAAGAUGCAGGCAGCAGGGAGAUAGCAGAGAUGGUGCCUUAUGACGAUUACUACUAUGAGGGCUCGUCGCUUGUGGCCAACCAGAGCUUCCGAGAAAUCGAGCGGAACUCUGACACGUCAACAAAGCGUGGCUCCAUAUCCUUCCGCACAAUGAUCAGGGAAGACCAGCUUCCGCCGGAUGGCACAGAUGAGAUCGGCUUCUCCUCUCGCAGCGGCGUCCAUAUUGGAUCAUCCUCGCCUGCAGGUUCUUCACCAAGCGCCGCAAUGCCCAUGCUGCCUCUCAAGGAGGUCCCUAGAUACUAA
This 1194-nucleotide ribosomal RNA is filed under the name Triticum aestivum (bread wheat). RNAcentral describes it as "partial small subunit ribosomal RNA". The record is from RNAcentral. Lineage: Eukaryota; Viridiplantae; Streptophyta; Magnoliopsida; Poales; Poaceae.